This is a non-coding RNA of Virgibacillus pantothenticus, 238 nucleotides long. It matches the Rfam family "HNH endonuclease-associated RNA and ORF (HEARO) RNA". The record is from Rfam. NCBI's taxonomy places the organism in Bacteria, Bacillati, Bacillota, Bacilli, Caryophanales, Bacillaceae.
GUCAACUACCCACCACUAAGUCUAUAAGACUUGAAGUGGGGGCUUGUUAAAAGCCCUAGUUGUCUAGCCUAAGGCUUAACUGACUACGUUAGAAUGUUGCAUACCGUGGGAUGAUUCCCUAGUCCCACGCUCUAUGGCGGCUCUGUAAACAGUUUCUAUGGGAAGAAGCAGUCAACCGUAAGCCAUCUCGCUUUGAGAUGUUGCCAACACAUUCUAACAUUGGCGAAGGGAAACAAAC